Molecule: ribosomal RNA, 497 nt
Filed under: uncultured bacterium
Lineage: Bacteria
Description: partial 16S ribosomal RNA
Rfam family: Bacterial small subunit ribosomal RNA
Source: RNAcentral
GACGAACGCUGGCGGCGUGCCUAAUACAUGCAAGUUGAGCGCUGAAGGUUGGUACUUGUACCGACUGGAUGAGCAGCGAACGGGUGAGUAACGCGUGGGGAAUCUGCCUUUGAGCGGGGGACAACAUUUGGAAACGAAUGCUAAUACCGCAUAAAAACUUUAAACACAUGUUUUAAGUUUGAAAGAUGCUAUUGCAUCACCCAAAGAUGAUACCGCGGUGUAUUAGCUAGUUGGUGAGGUAAAGGCCUACCAAGGCGAUGAUACAUAGCCGACCUGGGAGGGUGAUAGGCCACAAUGGGAAUGGGACACGGCCCAAAAUCCUACGGGAGGGAGCAGUAGGGAAUCUUCGGCAAUGGACGAAAGUCUGACCGAGCAACGCCGCGUGAGGGAAGAAGGUUUUCGGAUCGUAAAACUCUGUUGGUAGAGAAGAACGUUGGUGAGAGUGGAAAGCUCAUCAAGUGACGGUAACUACCCAGAAAGGGACGGCUAACUACGUG